Otolemur garnettii (small-eared galago) is the source of this 300-nucleotide non-coding RNA. The record is from Rfam. Lineage: Eukaryota; Metazoa; Chordata; Mammalia; Primates; Galagidae.
ACCACACAUGGUGGUGUGUGCCUGUAGAAUCAGCUACUUGGGAGGCUGAGACAGGAGGAUCGUUUUAGCCCAGGAGUUCUGGGCUGUAGUGCACUUGCCGAUCGGGUGUCCACACCUAAGUUCAGCAUCAACACAAUGACCUCCCAGGAGCAGGGGGGCACAAAGUUGCCUAAGGAGGGGUAAACUGGCCCAGGUCAGAAACAGAGGAGGUCAAAACUCCCAUGCUGAUCAGUAGUGGGAUCGCGCCUGUGAAUAGCCACUGCACUCCAGCCUGGGCAACAUAGCAAGACCCCAUCUCUU